RNAcentral lists this ribosomal RNA (253 nucleotides) under uncultured bacterium. Its description in RNAcentral is "partial 16S ribosomal RNA". It matches the Rfam family "Bacterial small subunit ribosomal RNA", at positions 524 to 776 of the family's 1533-position model. The record is from RNAcentral.
UACGUAGGGGGCAAGCGUUGUCCGGAAUUAUUGGGCGUAAAGAGCGCGUAGGCGGUCCGGUAAGUCGGUUGUGAAAGUCGGGGGCUCAACCCUCGGAUGCCGAUCGAUACUGUCGGGCUAGAGUCCGGAAGAGGCGAGUGGAAUUCCUGGUGUAGCGGUGAAAUGCGCAGAUAUCAGGAAGAACACCCGUGGCGAAAGCGGCUCUCUGGAACGGUACUGACGCUGAGACGCGAAAGCGUGGGGAGCGAACAGG